CGGGGCGUAGCUCAGCCUGGUAGAGCGCCUGCUUUGGGAGCAGGAUGUCGUCGGUUCAAAUCCGGCCGCCCCGACCA
Molecule: transfer RNA, 77 nt
Filed under: Puniceicoccales bacterium
Lineage: Bacteria; Pseudomonadati; Verrucomicrobiota; Opitutia; Puniceicoccales
Description: tRNA-Pro
Rfam family: tRNA
About the family: Transfer RNA (tRNA) molecules are approximately 80 nucleotides in length. Their secondary structure includes four short double-helical elements and three loops (D, anti-codon, and T loops).
Source: RNAcentral